RNAcentral lists this small RNA (77 nucleotides) under Klebsiella pneumoniae. RNAcentral describes it as "partial RtT sRNA". It matches the Rfam family "RtT RNA", at positions 54 to 130 of the family's 130-position model. Rfam says of the family: This family represents a bacterial cis-regulatory element known as RtT RNA. The exact function of RtT is unknown although it is thought that it may be involved in changing the cellular response in relation to amino acid starvation. The record is from RNAcentral. Lineage: Bacteria; Pseudomonadati; Pseudomonadota; Gammaproteobacteria; Enterobacterales; Enterobacteriaceae.
GCAGUGAGACAACGGAGCCGCUUGCGGCGACGGCCCGAAGGGCGAGGCGAAGCCGAGUCAUCCUGCACGACCCACCA